UUCGGGAGGCAGCAGUAAGGGAUAUUGGUCAAUGGGGGGAACCCUGAACCAGCCAUGCCGCGUGAGGGAAUAAGGCCCUACGGGUCGUAAACCUCUUUUGCCGGGGGAUAAGGACGCCCACGUGUGGGUGUUUGAAGGUACCCGGAGAAUAAGCAUCGGCUAACUCCGUGCCAGCAGCCGCGGUAAU
RNAcentral lists this ribosomal RNA (187 nucleotides) under uncultured rumen bacterium. RNAcentral's name for it is "partial 16S ribosomal RNA". It matches the Rfam family "Bacterial small subunit ribosomal RNA", at positions 340 to 524 of the family's 1533-position model. The record is from RNAcentral.